This 253-nucleotide ribosomal RNA is filed under the name uncultured bacterium. Its description in RNAcentral is "partial 16S ribosomal RNA". It matches the Rfam family "Bacterial small subunit ribosomal RNA", at positions 524 to 776 of the family's 1533-position model. The record is from RNAcentral.
UACAGAGGGUGCAAGCGUUAAUCGGAAUUACUGGGCGUAAAGCGUGCGUAGACGGUAGCGUAAGUCGGGUGUGAAAGCCCCGGGCUCAACCUGGGAAUUGCAUUCGAGACUGCUCUGCUAGGGUGCGGAAGAGGGAAGCGGAAUUUCCGGUGUAGCGGUGAAACGCGUAGAUAUCGGAAGGAACACCAGUGGCGAAAGCGGCUUCCUGGUCCAGCACCGACGUUCAGGCACGAAAGCGUGGGGAGCAAACAGG